GUAGGGAAUCUUCCACAAUGGACGAAAGUCUGAUGGAGCAAUGCCGCGUGAGUGAAGAAGGGUUUCGGCUCGUAAAACUCUGUUGUUAAAGAAGAACACCUUUGAGAGUAACUGUUCAAGGGUUGACGGUAUUUAACCAGAAAGCCACGGCUAACUACGUGCCAGCAGCCGCGGUAAUACGUAGGUGGCAAGCGUUGUCCGGAUUUAUUGGGCGUAAAGCGAGCGCAGGCGGUUUUUUAAGUCUGAUGUGAAAGCCUUCGGCUUAACCGGAGAAGUGCAUCGGAAACUGGGAGACUUGAGUGCAGAAGAGGACAGUGGAACUCCAUGUGUAGCGGUGGAAUGCGUAGAUAUAUGGAAGAACACCAGUGGCGAAGGCGGCUGUCUAGUCUGUAACUGACGCUGAGGCUCGAAAGCAUGGGUAGCGAACAGGAUUAGAAACCCUAGUAGUCC
RNAcentral lists this ribosomal RNA (450 nucleotides) under uncultured bacterium. RNAcentral describes it as "bacterial SSU rRNA". It matches the Rfam family "Bacterial small subunit ribosomal RNA", at positions 354 to 796 of the family's 1533-position model. The record is from RNAcentral.